This 492-nucleotide ribosomal RNA is filed under the name uncultured bacterium. RNAcentral's name for it is "partial 16S ribosomal RNA". It matches the Rfam family "Bacterial small subunit ribosomal RNA", at positions 30 to 507 of the family's 1533-position model. The record is from RNAcentral.
AUUGAACGCUGGCGGCAUGCUUUACACAUGCAAGUCGAACGGUAACAGGCCUUCGGGUGCUGACGAGUGGCGAACGGGUGAGUAAUGCAUCGGAACGUGCCCAGAGGUGGGGGAUAACGCAGCGAAAGCUGUGCUAAUACCGCAUGUGAUCUGAGGAUGAAAGCGGGGGACCAGGCAGCAAUGUUUGGCCUCGCGCCUUUGGAGCGGCCGAUGUCAGAUUAGGUAGUUGGUGGGGUAAAGGCCUACCAAGCCGACGAUCUGUAGCUGGUCUGAGAGGACGACCAGCCACACUGGGACUGAGACACGGCCAAGACUCCUACGGGAGGCAGCAGUGGGGAAUUUUGGACAAUGGGCGCAAGCCUGAUCCAGCAAUGCCGCGUGCGGGAAGAAGGCCUUCGGGUUGUAAACCGCUUUUGUACGGAACGAAAAGGCUCUGGCUAAUACCUGGGGAUGAUGACGGUACCGUAAGAAUAAGCACCGGCUAACUACGUG